AUAACUAAAAUAAACAAGCCCUUCGGUACUCCGUAUUGGUUUCUUCAUUCCUCAAUUUACCACAACAUUUUUGGUGACCACGAAGGGACCAGAGAGGGCAGGCUUACUGUCUCCUUUGCCUCUGGGGACUGGAGCGUGAGCCUCGGGAAACCUGUGGCCCCAGGUGCCACUGGGAGAACUUCAGCCCGGAGGGGAGAUCAGCUGUCUUUUCACCCAGUGCCCCCUACCCAGCAGUGCAAUAGAACCUAAAGAGGAGCUACAGGACAAUUUCAGAAACAGCGUGCUUCAGGAAGCACGUUUCAGGUGCUGUGUCUUGGAUCCACCACAGUCGGCUAAAACCGGCAGCUCAGGACAAGUGAACCAGCCAGCAGGACCCAGAUCAUCCAACCUGGCUGAUCCUGAGGCGAGACCAAGCUGCUGCUGAGGACAACAGCCCUGCUCUGGUCACUCCAGAGGCUGACCAGUCUAUGCAUGGCUGAAGCUUGAGGAAACAACAAGCCCUGCUCUAGUCACACACCAGAAGCUGACUAGUCUAUGCACGGCCAAAGCUUGAGGACUCAUCAAGCAAGUAAAUGCAGUUAGAAAUCUUAGGACUAGUAGUUUUACUGUAUACUAACUGUUUGACUGU
Molecule: long non-coding RNA, 628 nt
Organism: Homo sapiens (human)
Lineage: Eukaryota; Metazoa; Chordata; Mammalia; Primates; Hominidae
Source: Ensembl